UCGAACGCGAAAGUUCCCUUCGGGGAGCAAGUAGAGUGGCGCACGGGUGAGUAACACGUAGGUAAUCUACCUUCGGAUGGGGAAUAACAACCGGAAACGGUUGCUAAUACCGCAUAAUGCAGCGGCACCUAAUGGUGACAGUUGUUAAAGCGGGGGAUCGUAAGACCUCGCGUCUGAAGAGGAGCCUGCGGCGGAUUAGCUAGUUGGUAAGGUAAUGGCUUACCAAGGCGAUGAUCCGUAACCGGCCUGAGAGGGCGGUCGGUCACACUGACACUGACAUACGGGUCAGACUCCUACGGGAGGCAGCAGUCGGGAAUUUUGGGCAAUGGGCGAAAGCCUGACCCAGCAACGCCGCGUGAAGGAUGAAAUCCCUCGGGAUGUAAACUUCGCAAGAACAGGAAGAAUAAGUAAGGGUUAAUAUCCCUUGCGAUGACGGUACUGUUUGUAAGCUCCGGCUAACUCCGUGCCAGCAGCCGCGGUAAUACGGGGGGAGCAAGCGUUGUUCGGAUUUACUGGGCGUAAAGGGCGCGUAGGCGGCCACCGCAAGUCAGUUGUGAAAGCUCUGGGCUUAACCCAGAAAGGUCAACUGAUACUGCGGGGCUAGAGUGCAGAAGGGGCAACUGGAAUUCUCGGUGUAGCGGUGAAAUGCGUAGAUAUCGAGAGGAACACUGCGGCGAAGGCGGGUUGCUGGGUUGACACUGACGCUGAUGUGCGAAAGCUAGGGGAGCGAACGGGAUUAGAUACCCCGGUAGUCCUAGCCUUAAACG
This 767-nucleotide ribosomal RNA is filed under the name uncultured bacterium. RNAcentral describes it as "bacterial SSU rRNA". It matches the Rfam family "Bacterial small subunit ribosomal RNA", at positions 62 to 808 of the family's 1533-position model. The record is from RNAcentral.